CGGCAAUAGCUCAAAUUUGAAAUCUGACUCUCGGGUCCGAGUUGUAAUUUGUAGAGGAUGUUUCGGGCAAGGCUUCGGUUCAAGUUCCUUGGAACAGGACGUCACAGAGGGUGAGAAUCCCGUCUCGAACUGUCCGCCGCGUCCGUGUGAAACUCCUUCGAC
RNAcentral lists this ribosomal RNA (162 nucleotides) under Phaeomoniellales sp. RNAcentral's name for it is "partial large subunit ribosomal RNA". It matches the Rfam family "Eukaryotic large subunit ribosomal RNA", at positions 99 to 261 of the family's 3401-position model. Lineage: Eukaryota; Fungi; Ascomycota; Eurotiomycetes; Phaeomoniellales. The record is from RNAcentral.